This 253-nucleotide ribosomal RNA is filed under the name uncultured bacterium. RNAcentral's name for it is "partial 16S ribosomal RNA". It matches the Rfam family "Bacterial small subunit ribosomal RNA", at positions 524 to 776 of the family's 1533-position model. The record is from RNAcentral.
UACGGAGGGUGCAAGCGUUAAUCGGAAUUACUGGGCGUAAAGCGCACGUAGGUGGUUUACUAAGCCAGCUGUGAAAUCCCCGGGCUCAACCUGGGCACUGCAGUUGGAACUGGUAAGCUAGAGUAGGGUAGAGGGGUGUGGAAUUCCAGGUGUAGCGGUGAAAUGCGUAGAUAUCUGGAGGAACAUCAGUGGCGAAGGCGACACCCUGGACUCAUACUGACACUGAGGUGCAAAAGCGUGGGGAGCAAACAGG